Molecule: ribosomal RNA, 254 nt
Filed under: uncultured bacterium
Lineage: Bacteria
Description: partial 16S ribosomal RNA
Rfam family: Bacterial small subunit ribosomal RNA
Source: RNAcentral
UACGGGGGGGGCAAGCGUUGUUCGGAAUUACUGGGCGUAAAGGGUUCGUAGGUGGCCAACUAAGUCAGACGUGAAAUCCCUCGGCUUAACCGGGGAACUGCGUCUGAUACUGGAUGGCUUGAGUGUGGGAGAGGGAUGCGGAAUUCCAGGUGUAGCGGUGAAAUGCGUAGAUAUCUGGAGGAACACCGGUGGCGAAGGCGGCAUCCUGGACCACGACUGACGCUGAGUGAGCGAAAGCCAGGGGAGCAAACGGG